RNAcentral lists this ribosomal RNA (253 nucleotides) under uncultured bacterium. RNAcentral's name for it is "partial 16S ribosomal RNA". It matches the Rfam family "Bacterial small subunit ribosomal RNA", at positions 524 to 776 of the family's 1533-position model. The record is from RNAcentral.
UACGAGGGGGGCAAAUGUUGUUCGGAAUCACUGGGCGUAAAGGGAGCGUAGGCGGGCUUCUAAGUUAGGUGUUUAAUCCCGGGGCCCAACCCCGGUCGUGCACUUAAAACUGGAGGUCUUGAAUAGUGGAGAGGUCAGUGGAAUUGGGGGUGUAGCGGUGGAAUGCGUAGAGAUCCCCAAGAACACCAGUUGCGAAGGCGGCUGACUGGACACAUAUUGACGCUGAGGCUCGAAAGCAUGGGGAGCAAACAGG